This 394-nucleotide ribosomal RNA is filed under the name uncultured bacterium. RNAcentral describes it as "partial 16S ribosomal RNA". It matches the Rfam family "Bacterial small subunit ribosomal RNA", at positions 338 to 729 of the family's 1533-position model. The record is from RNAcentral.
CCUACGGGUGGCAGCAGUGAGGAAUAUUGGUCAAUGGGCGCGAGCCUGAACCAGCCAAGUAGCGUGAAGGAUGACUGCCCUACGGUUUUUAAACUUCUUUUAUAAAGGAAUAAAGUUAGGCACGUGUGCCUUUUUGUAUGUACUUUAUGAAUAAGGAUCGGCUAACUCCGUUCCAGCAGCCGCGGUAAUACGGAGGAUCCGAGCGUUAUCCGGAUUUAUUGGGUUUAAAGGGAGCGUAGCUUGGUUGUUAAGUCAGUUGUUAAAGUUUGCGGCUUAAACGUAACAUUGCCGUUGAUACUGGCAGACUUGAGUACACUUGAGGUAGGCGGAAUUCGUGGUGUAGCGGUGAAAUGCUUAGAUAUCACGAAGAACUCCGAUUGCGAAGGCAGCGUAC